UGUAGUCACAUUGUAGUCAUAUGCUUGUCUCAAAGAUUAAGCCAUGCAUGUUUAAGUAUAAGCAAUCUAUACAGUGAAACUGCGAAUGGCUCAUUAAAUCAGUUAUCGUUUAUUUGAUAGUACCUUACUACUUGGAUAACCGUGGUAAUUCUAGAGCUAAUACAUGCUAAAAACCCCGACUUCGGAAGGGGUGUAUUUAUUAGAUAAAAAACCAAUGCUCUUCGGGGCUCCUUGGUGAUUCAUGAUAACUUAACGAAUCGCAUGGCCUUGUGCCGGCGAUGGUCAUCAAAUCUCUGCCCUAUCAACUUCGAUGUAGAUUUUCCAACC
Molecule: ribosomal RNA, 327 nt
Filed under: uncultured fungus
Lineage: Eukaryota; Fungi
Description: SSU rRNA
Rfam family: Eukaryotic small subunit ribosomal RNA
Source: RNAcentral